UAUAUAUAAGACCCGCUCCUGUUUUGAGAUUCGAAUUACUUCAAGCAAAAUGUGGCGUAUCAAAAUGAAACCAUACAAAAGAUUUGAAGUUAUAUUUUCAAGAACACAAUUCCGAAAACCGCAUCCAAUUUGAUGCAGUACUUUUUGCGUGAUGCCGGAACAAACAUACAGACGGACGAACAGAUAAAAAUUUCUAAAAAUUAUUGUUAAAGCAAUUUCAGCCGAGAAGAACGAACAUGAAACUUAACUGUUGCUAUUUCAAG
Long non-coding RNA from Galleria mellonella (greater wax moth), 263 nucleotides. RefSeq lists it as uncharacterized. The record is from RefSeq and is a predicted model, not a curated record. The transcript is spliced from 3 exons. NCBI's taxonomy places the organism in Eukaryota, Metazoa, Arthropoda, Insecta, Lepidoptera, Pyralidae.